GCAGUCGUAGCGAGAAGUCUCUUCGGAGAUGAGUAAAGUGGCGCACGGGUGAGUAACACGUAGGUAACCUACCUCAGGGACCGGGACAACCUGCCGAGAAGGUGGGCUAAUACCGGAUAAGACCACGGGGGCUUCGGCCCCAGCGGUAGAAAGUUGGCCUCUACUUGUAAGCUAGCGCCAAGAGAUGGGCCUGCGGACCAUUAUCUUGUUGGUGGGGUAACGGCCUACCAAGGCUAAGAUGGUUAGCUGGUCUGAGAGGAUGAUCACCCACACUGGGACUGAGACACGGCCCACACUCCUACGGGAGGCAGCAGUAGGGAAUCUUGGGCAAUGGGCGAAAGCCUGACCCAGCAACGCCGCGUGGGUGAUGAAGGCCUUCGGGUCGUAAAGCCCUGUCAGAGGGAACGAAUGUUCCCGGGACGAAUAAUUCCGGGAAGUGACGGUACCCUCAGAGGAAGCACCGGCUAACUCCGUGCCAGCAGCCGCGGUAAGACGGAGGGUGCUAGCGUUGUUCGGAAUUACUGGGCGUAAAGCGCGUGUACGGCGGUUCGGCAAGUUGCGUGUGAAAGCCCCCGGCCCAACCGGGGAAGUGCACUCAAACUGCCGAGCUUGAGUUCGGAAGAGGGGGGUGGAAUUCCAGGUGUAGCGGUGAAAUGCGUAAUAUCUGGAGGAACUCUAGUGGCGAAGGCGACCCGCCUGGUCUGUCUGACUGACGCUGAGACGCGAAAGCGUGGGUAGCAAACAGGAUUAGAUACCCUGGUAGUCCACGCCGUAAACGAUGGG
Molecule: ribosomal RNA, 783 nt
Filed under: uncultured bacterium
Lineage: Bacteria
Description: bacterial SSU rRNA
Rfam family: Bacterial small subunit ribosomal RNA
Source: RNAcentral